CCUACGGGAGGCAGCAGUAGGGAAUCUUCGGCAAUGGACGGAAGUCUGACCGAGCAACGCCGCGUGAGUGAAGAAGGUUUUCGGAUCGUAAAGCUCUGUUGUAAGAGAAGAACGAGUGUGAGAGUGGAAAGUUCACACUGUGACGGUAUCUUACCAGAAAGGGACGGCUAACUACGUGCCAGCAGCCGCGGUAAUACGUAGGUCCCGAGCGUUGUCCGGAUUUAUUGGGCGUAAAGCGAGCGCAGGCGGUUAGAUAAGUCUGAAGUUAAAGGCUGUGGCUUAACCAUAGUACGCUUUGGAAACUGUUUAACUUGAGUGCAAGAGGGGAGAGUGGAAUUCCAUGUGUAGCGGUGAAAUGCGUAGAUAUAUGGAGGAACACCGGUGGCGAAAGCGGCUCUCUGGCUUGUAACUGACGCUGAGGCUCGAAAGCGUGGGUAGCAAACAGGAUUAGAUACCCUGGUAGUCCACGCCGUAAACGAUGAGUGCUAAGUGUUGGAGGGUUUCCGCCCUUCAGUGCUGCAGUUAACGCAUUAAGCACUCCGCCUGGGGAGUACGACCGCAAGGUUGAAACUCAAAGGAAUUGACGG
This 587-nucleotide ribosomal RNA is filed under the name uncultured bacterium. RNAcentral describes it as "bacterial SSU rRNA". It matches the Rfam family "Bacterial small subunit ribosomal RNA", at positions 338 to 916 of the family's 1533-position model. The record is from RNAcentral.